ACAGAGGGGGCGAGCGUUGUUCGGAAUUACUGGGCGUAAAGCGUGCGCAGGCGGUUUUGUAAGCCAGAUGUGAAAGCCCCGGGCUCAACCUGGGAACUGCGUUUGGAACUACAAGACUAGAGUGUGUCAGAGGGGGGUGGAACUCCGCGUGUAGCAGUGAAAUGCGUAGAGAUCGGAAGGAACAUCUGUGGCGAAGGCGGCAUCCUGGGCCAACACUGACACUGAGGCACGAAAGCGUGGGGAGCAAACAGGA
This 253-nucleotide ribosomal RNA is filed under the name uncultured prokaryote. Its description in RNAcentral is "partial 16S ribosomal RNA". It matches the Rfam family "Bacterial small subunit ribosomal RNA", at positions 525 to 777 of the family's 1533-position model. The record is from RNAcentral.